Long non-coding RNA from Cydia fagiglandana, 159 nucleotides. RefSeq lists it as uncharacterized. Lineage: Eukaryota; Metazoa; Arthropoda; Insecta; Lepidoptera; Tortricidae. The record is from RefSeq and is a predicted model, not a curated record. The transcript is spliced from 2 exons.
UAAAAAACCGGACAAGUGCGAGUCGGACUCGCCCACCGAGAGUUCUGUACUUUUUAUAUUUGUUAAUAUAGUGGCAACAGAAAUAUAUCACCUGUGAAAAUUUCAACUGUCUAGCUAUCACGGUUUAUGAGAUACAGCCUGGCGACGGACAGACGGACA